ACCAAAUUCAUUCAUGAUUUUAGCAACUAUUUCUCUUUCCUGACCUCCCUAUAUUUUCUGUCCUUUUUACCAUAGCGGAUACAUCUUCACUUCUAAUUUUAAACUUUGGCUAUAAGUUACUGUUAUAAUAAUAGCUAACAACUCUUGUGUAUUUCCUACAUCAAAGACACAGUGGUGAACCAUUCUGGUGGAUUCUUUUAUUCAAUCCUGGAAGUAAAGUGCCCUGGGAUAUAAACUCCAAGAGGGCAGGACUCUUAUCUGAAUUCCUUUUGCCUGGGGGCAGGGGUAGUAAGUACUCUGUAAAUUUUUGCUGAAGGAAUGAACAAAUGGAUGAAAGAGUGAAAGAGCAGCCUAUGAAGUGGGUCCUAUGAUUAGUCCCAUUUUGCGACAUGAAAAGUGGCCAGUCAAUGGUGAGAACAAGACACGGAGCCGGGCAGUCUGUCCCCACAGACCGUGCUUCUGAUGCGUACAGGUAUCACCUUCACACAAGAGCCAGAAUAGGACAGACUCAUAUACCAUUCUGAUCUGGGUGCAUUUCUUCAGAAGGUACGCUGUGCUCAUGGGGAACUGCGGCUGCCCGGGCAUGGGGCUGACAAGGCCGGGAGGAAAGUCUGUGUGUGCAUUUUAACAAGAAGGUUUCCCAGGGAAGUGAGGGAAGUAAAAUGAUGGGCACCAAAGGCUUUGAGGCCGCUCCGCCCUCUCCUGAUAUUCAUUCCUCUCGUGUCCCAGCAGAAUUUCUGCUGGGAUUCUUCAGAGAUACCCUUGGUUUAAGUUGAUUGAUGUAAAGGAGGCCAGUGGGGAAAUCAGAGGAAGUUGGGGGGUAGGGGGAGGCCAGAGUGAUGGUUCUGGGAAUUCUUGACCCUGCCUUAUUUCUCAGUAGGAUAUUGUGCUGGGUAGGGGUGAGGCCGGGGCGGGGGG
Molecule: long non-coding RNA, 918 nt
Filed under: Bos indicus x Bos taurus (hybrid cattle)
Lineage: Eukaryota; Metazoa; Chordata; Mammalia; Artiodactyla; Bovidae
Description: lncRNA (ENSBIXG00005027487.1)
Source: RNAcentral